CUGGGCUUUUGUGGUAUCCUGUCAUCCUCAGCAUUUUGUAUUCUUAAGUUUGUAUGUAUGCAUAAAGGAACAACUAAUUUCUUCAGCAUUUUGAGUACUUUGUUAUAUUGCCACAGUAAUGACUUUUGUUUUGAAACACACUGCUACCCUGUGGAUCUGAAGAAGAAUACAUUGGGGGUAUGUGAUUAAAGGUCUUUUAUCAGUGCUUAAAGACAUAGCAGGAAUAAUGAGAUUAAAACCAAAUCACUGCAAAUCUUGUAUAUCUGAGAAAAUAGUAUCAAAUAUUCAAAGAACCAUUAAUGUGUGUUCUUUAAUAUUUAGCAAAUUUUAUUUCCUUUUUCCUCUCAUCGUGGAGUUUAUUUGGAGAGAAAAGGAUCUCAUACAAUCUCUUAAAAAUUCAUAAUUCAGACUUUAUUUUGUGUUAUAUUUAAAUAUGAAAGAUUGUAUCAACCAUGUCAUUUCUUUUUCUGGUCUUUCUAGGAGAUUAUUUGAAUUUCAUACUCCAGGUUUGAGGGAACUAGAAGGCUACUAUCUCUGGAUAAGAUGUAUUUUAUAUUAAAUGCUUAAGUUAUUUGUUCUUUAUGUUAAAUUUAGAAUACUUUUAAGCAUUUGACAUUUUUUCCCCUCCAAAUAUUAAGCCAGUUAGUUGAUUUCAACUCUUUUGACCUUUUCAAAAUCCCAUCUACCAUUUUUGUUUCCCUGAGAAAGCUCUCCAGACUCCUUAUUUGGACACCUGAAUCACCAGUUUGUGAGGCAGUAUGUUGGAGAAUUAUAAAUAAUUUGGCAUAAUGAGAGCGCAGAAUGCAGAAGUACAAGAAGUGAGAGAAGAUAGAAAGAUGGACCAAUAGAAAGAUUUGUCUUUAUUCAAAAAGACAGUGGGGAGCCAAUUGCAGGAACAAUUAUAUCAGAUUUGUAGCUAGGUAAGAGUACCUUAGCAGAAGUUGGGAGAAUAGGAUGGAGAAACCAGAAGAAAAUCUAUUGUAAUGAUCCAAGAGAAACAAGAAAUAAUGAGAGCUUAAACUAAACAGAUGGUGGGAGUAAGAAAUAGUUCAGAGGGAGAGAGGAUGGGACUUAGUGCUUGAUUAGAUGUGGAAGGUAAAAGGAAAGAAAUUGAGAUGAAUCUGAAGUUCUGAGAUGCCUGUUUAGAUGUGAUACCAUGCAUGGAGGCAGGAAUGAUUGAGAAGGAAAGGAGGUGGCUGGAAACUAGGUCAGUGAUAGUGAAAAGAAAGGGAGUGAUGAGUUUAGUUUCACACACGUUAAAUUUAGAAGGCAAACAUUUAGUCAUUUUAUGGAUUUGGAGUUUAGGAGAAAGAUCUUGACUGGAGUAUUUAGUGUGUAGCAAGCUGAAGGUGCAAGUGUGGGUGUUCACACUGUGAAGGUGUGAACAGUUUUGAGAAGUGAAGCACAAAGAGUGCUGGGAGGAUAUCCACAUUGAGGACUAGGAUGAGGAGGGUAAGAGUCUACAAAAGUAGACUGAAAAUGAACUGUAGAAGAGGACAAGAGAAUAGUUUGAUUAGAACUAAGGGAGAAAAGAAUUUUAGCAGAGCGAGGAGUAGUCAGUAAUGUCAGUUGUUUCAGAAAGAAUUGAGAAAGAUGUAAAUACUGAAAAUUGUCCAUUGAAUAUGGAAAUUAGGAGGUUAUAGUGGUUUUAUGAGGUAUUUGUGGAGCAUUACGGGCAGAAAUCAAAUUGCAGUGGAUUGAAGAAUGAGAAGUGAGAAGCAGAGACGCGAACUUCUCUUUUAAAAAACUCAGCAGUAAUAAGCUAUGGUACACGCAUACUUGGAAAACUGCUGAGCGGUAACAGAAAGGGACUGUUGAUAAACGUGACGACCUGGAUACAUCUCCAGGCAAUUAUGUCAAGUGAAAGAGUCAAUCCCUGUUCAAUCCCUAACACACUGCAUGUUCCCAUGUGUAUGGCACUCUCGACAAAAUUAUAGAAAUGGAGGAUAGAGUGGUUGUCAGAAUUUAAUGAAGGGAAGUGGGGUGGGAGGGAGGUGGGUAGAAGGAAGUAGGUAGGAAAAGGACAACAGGAGGGAUCCUUGUGGUAUGGAACUGUUCAGUGUCUUGACUGUAUAUAUGUGUGAACUAACUGGUAAUAAAAUUGUAUAGAACUUAACACACACACACAAGUACAAGUAAAUCUUGGAAAUCUGAAUGAGAGAGGUGGAUGGUUAUCAAUGUCAGUAUCCUGGUUGUGCUAUUUGAACUGUAGUUUUAUAAAAUGUUACCACUGGAGGAAAUUGGGUAAAGCGUACAAGGGACUUUGUUCUUACAACUGCAUGUAAAUCUAUAAUAAUCUCAAUAAAUAUUUCAGAGUUUAGC
This 2322-nucleotide long non-coding RNA is filed under the name Marmota monax (woodchuck). The record is from RNAcentral. Lineage: Eukaryota; Metazoa; Chordata; Mammalia; Rodentia; Sciuridae.